Molecule: ribosomal RNA, 466 nt
Filed under: uncultured Syntrophomonadaceae bacterium
Lineage: Bacteria; Bacillati; Bacillota; Clostridia; Eubacteriales; Syntrophomonadaceae
Description: bacterial SSU rRNA
Rfam family: Bacterial small subunit ribosomal RNA
Source: RNAcentral
CCUACGGGGGGCUGCAGUGGGGAAUAUUGUGCAAUGGGGGCAACCCUGACACAGCGACGCCGCGUGAGCGAAGAAGGCCUUAGGGUCGUAAAGCUCUGUUAUACGGGACGAAUACUAUAUAUAUGAACAAUAUAUAUAGCUGACGGUAUCGUACGAGCAAGCCCCGGCUAACUAUGUGCCAGCAGCCGCGGUAAGACAUAGGGGGCUAGCGUUGUCCGGAAUUACUGGGCGUAAAGGGCACGUAGGCGGAAACUUAAGUCAGGUGUGAAAGACCGCAGCUUAACUGCGGUAUUGCAUUUGAAACUAGGUUUCUUGAGGGCAGGAGAGGAAAGCAGAAUUCCUGGUGUAGCGGUGAAAUGCGUAGAAAUCAGGAGGAAUACCGGUGGCGAAGGCGGCUUUCUGGACUGACCCUGACGCUGAUGUGCGAAAGCGUGGUUAGCAAACAGGCUUAGAUACCCCUGUAGUC